This 429-nucleotide ribosomal RNA is filed under the name Bacteroidota bacterium. Its description in RNAcentral is "Bacteroidetes bacterium partial 16S ribosomal RNA". It matches the Rfam family "Bacterial small subunit ribosomal RNA", at positions 355 to 776 of the family's 1533-position model. Lineage: Bacteria; Pseudomonadati; Bacteroidota. The record is from RNAcentral.
UAGGGAAUCUUCCGCAAUGGGCGAAAGCCUGACGGAGCAACGCCGCGUGAGUGAUGAAGGUCUUCGGAUCGUAAAACUCUGUUAUUAGGGAAGAACAAAUGUGUAAGUAACUAUGCACAUCUUGACGGUACCUAAUCAGAAAGCCACGGCUAACUACGUGCCAGCAGCCGGGGUAAUACGUAGGUGGCAAGCGUUAUCCGGAAUUAUUGGGCGUAAAGCGCGCGUAGGCUGUUUUUUAAGUCUGAUGUGAAAGCCCACGGCUCAAACGUGGAGGGUCAUUGGAAACUGGAAAACUUGAGUGCAGAAGAGGAAAGUGGAAUUCCAUGUGUAGCGGUGAAAUGCGCAGUGAUAUGGAGGAACACCAGUGGCGAAGGCGACUUUCUGGUCUGUAACUGACGCUGAUGUGCGAAAGCGUGGGGAUCAAACAGG